CAAAGCAUUCUUCUUAAAAAGCAAUUCGUUUCUUUCAGGUAGCUGUUCCAUCCUUAAGAACCUCAUUGUGGCUGCCCAAGGCAUGGGGAACUUGGACUUCAAGUUCUUCAGCUUUGUAUAACUGAGUAAAACUCAUGAUGGUAGAUCCUGAAAUAAGAAUGAUUUGUGGGGAUGAUGUUAUAUCUGCAUAUUGGUUUGAUUACUCUGCCAUCCUGAGACUGUGGGCUCACACCCAUCACAGUAUUUUAGGUGCUUUCCUACCAGUUUGGGGACUGCAAUCACUGUGUGAGCAAUGAUCUCAGCCCAUUACAAUGCAAUGAUUUCAAGAGGAUGUUUAAUAGCUUAUUAAUAAGUGAAUCUUAGGGAACUGAAAAAAGUAGCAAUUAUUAGGUGGCAUGUGUUAGAGCUUAAAUAUACAUCAUGCAGGAGACUAAAGCAUUGACACUUUACAGUCCCAUUGGGUAAUUAUUUGGAUUAGGCUGAGUACCCAAUUUCCCAGCUAUGACUUCAUAGGCUGGGAAUCCUGCUCUCUGGUGACAUCACAGUUCCACAAGUCUCCCUCACUAGUUGCCAUGCUGACUACUGUCAGGUGGUGUGGCAUAUAGCUAUGGCACACAGCCUUAAGAAAGGACCCACACUCUUUCAGGAAAUAAGAAUAAUGAUGAAUGAGAGUCUAACAAAGAAAUAAAUGCAGGUCAGCUGCAGAGAAGCCCAUCUGAGCAGGCAAGGAAGACUUGCACAGCUCAAGCCCAAGCAGUGCCCACAGCACAGGAGGCCACCUGCUUUCUCUCAAGGCUGGCAAGCCCUGACAGCAGAGGUGGCAGCUGAGGAAGGCAGCUGGCACCAUCGAUGGGGGAGAGUGGGAGAGACCCUCCCCUUCCUCUCUCCCAGAGCCAGGUCCUCUGCAUCCCUGAGCCAAGGGAAGCUCCUGGAGGGUAGCAGGACUGAAGGAGGUGGGGACCUCCUGAUAUUUCUGGGGAACAUCCCUGCAUCAACAGCAUCAGGUCAGAACUGCCUGCUUUGAGGCCGUGUGAGCUGGGCUGCUCAAUGGGCAGCUCCUGCUGAAGAGGACCAGGAGGAAGGCGGGCAGGGCUACAGAGCAGGAAAAUUCUUCCCCAGACAAGAGUUCAGUCUGGGAGCAGAUGAAAAUGAAGCAACAGCACUAACUAGCCUUAUGCCCACUGUAAGGGACAUGGGGAUGAAUGCUCCUGGCUGGACACAGAGCAUGGCCAGGGCCACCCUAGGUGGUGAGAAAAGUGCUGUCUCUGUGGAUGCCCCUCAAUGCCACUUUGGUUUCUUGUUCCACAAGGAGAUGGGACCGAUAUGGCCCCUGGUCUGAGUGACCCCAGCCUUGCUGCCCACUUCCAGCAAAGGCAGCUGCUCCUAUGGCAGGUUGCUCUCAGUCAGGCUCUGCUUCCCUGCAAGCUUGGCUGGAUUUGUGAGAGCUGUGCAGGGUAUGAACAUCACUGACAAAAGCU
RNAcentral lists this long non-coding RNA (1478 nucleotides) under Taeniopygia guttata (zebra finch). RNAcentral describes it as "lncRNA (ENSTGUG00000024313.1)". The record is from RNAcentral. Lineage: Eukaryota; Metazoa; Chordata; Aves; Passeriformes; Estrildidae.